This 485-nucleotide ribosomal RNA is filed under the name uncultured bacterium. RNAcentral describes it as "bacterial SSU rRNA". It matches the Rfam family "Bacterial small subunit ribosomal RNA", at positions 15 to 518 of the family's 1533-position model. The record is from RNAcentral.
GAUCAUGGCUCAGGAUGAACGCUGGCGGCGUGCUUAACACAUGCAAGUUGUGCGGUGAUCUCAAGAAGUUUCGGACGGAAAGGGAGAGCAGCAGCGGACGGGUGAGUAAAGCACAAGGACUUGUCCCGAAGAGGGGGACAACUGUGGGAAACCACAGCUAAUACCCCAUAAGCCGAGAGGUGAAAGCAGUAAUGCGCUUUAGGAGAGACUUGUGUCCUAUCAGGUAGUUGGUGAGGUAACGGCUCACCAAGCCGAAGACGGGUAGCCGGACUGAGAGGUUGUACGGCCACAUUGGAACUGAGAGACGGUCCAGACUCCUACGGGAGGCAGCAGUGGGGAAUAUUGGGCAAUGGGGGCAAACCCCCUGACCCAGCGACGCCGCGUGAGGGAAGACAGCCUUCGGGUUGUAAACCUCUGUUGCAGGGGAAGAAGAAAGUGACGGUACCCUGCGAGGAAGCUCCGGCAAACUACGUGCCAGCCGCCGC